GAUAAACGCUGGCGGCGUGCCUAACACAUGCAAGUCGAACGCCCUUACGCAAGUAAGGGAGUGGCGGACGGGUGAGGAACACGUGGGUGAUCUGCCUUGAGGUGAGGAAUACCGGCGAGAAAUCGCCGACAAUACCGCAUACGUUCGUAAGAACAAAGUCGCAAGACGCCUUGAGAUGAGCCUGCGUCCGAUUAGCUAGUUGGUGGGGUAAAAGCCUACCAAGGCAGCGANCGGUAGCUGGUCUGAGAGGACGAUCAGCCACACUGGGAUUGAGAACGGCCCAGACUCCUACGGGGGGCGAGCG
This 304-nucleotide ribosomal RNA is filed under the name uncultured bacterium. Its description in RNAcentral is "bacterial SSU rRNA". It matches the Rfam family "Bacterial small subunit ribosomal RNA", at positions 28 to 353 of the family's 1533-position model. The record is from RNAcentral.